RNAcentral lists this ribosomal RNA (250 nucleotides) under uncultured bacterium. RNAcentral describes it as "partial 16S ribosomal RNA". It matches the Rfam family "Bacterial small subunit ribosomal RNA", at positions 505 to 754 of the family's 1533-position model. The record is from RNAcentral.
GUGCCAGCAGCCGCGGUAAUACGUAGGUGGCGAGCGUUGUCCGGAAUCACUGGGCGUAAAGGGCGCGUAGGCUGUUAUUUAAGUCAGGUGUGUAAUCUGCGGGCUUAACCCGGAGUUUGCACCUGAUACUGGAUGGCUUGAGUGCUGGAGAGGGCAGUGGAAUUCCUAGUGUAGCGGUGAAAUGCGUAGAUAUUAGGAGGAACACCAGUGGCGAAGGCGGCUGCCUGGACAGUAACUGACGCUGAGGCGC